Molecule: ribosomal RNA, 318 nt
Filed under: uncultured eukaryote
Lineage: Eukaryota
Description: partial 18S ribosomal RNA
Rfam family: Eukaryotic small subunit ribosomal RNA
Source: RNAcentral
CCCUUAGAUGUCCUGGGCCGCACGCGUGCUACACUGACGCAUACAGCGAGUACUUUCCAGUUCCGAGAGGCUACUGGUAAUCAUCAAUAUGCGUCGUGAUGGGGAUAGAUCUUUGGAAUUCUGGAUCUUGAACGAGGAAUGCCUAGUAAUCGCAGGUCAUUAGCCUGCGAUGAUUAAGUCCCUGCCCUUUGUACACACCGCCCGUCGCUACUACCGAUUUCGAGUGGUCAGGUGAAUCUUUCGGACUGUGGGCGCCCUUGAGGUGUUCGCGGAAAGUCAGGUAAAUCUUAUCACUUAGAGGAAGUAAAAGUCGUAACA